Non-coding RNA from Alligator sinensis (Chinese alligator), 128 nucleotides. The record is from Rfam. Lineage: Eukaryota; Metazoa; Chordata; Crocodylia; Alligatoridae.
GUUUAGUAGCAGUGGCAGUAUCAUAGCCUAUGAGGCUGAACUGGGGCAUGAUCAUUGCUAGUUGAAAACUUUUCCUGUCAAUGAUCUGGAAACGAGAAUGACCAGAAAAGUGGUACAACUUUCAAGUG